GGGUGCGACUGAACUGACUCAGUCGCAGGUUUCUUGGAUGGUCGGCCGCCAUCC
This 54-nucleotide non-coding RNA is filed under the name unclassified sequences. Its description in RNAcentral is "Li+-I sequence". It matches the Rfam family "nhaA-I RNA". Rfam says of the family: Acidobacteria, Alphaproteobacteria, Betaproteobacteria and Gammaproteobacteria, Verrucomicrobia, cand. division NC10. Downstream gene The record is from Rfam by way of RNAcentral.